Molecule: ribosomal RNA, 319 nt
Filed under: Lamproderma aeneum
Lineage: Eukaryota; Evosea; Eumycetozoa; Stemonitida; Stemonitidae
Description: bacterial SSU rRNA
Rfam family: Eukaryotic small subunit ribosomal RNA
Source: RNAcentral
UCUGAAUCUGCGAACGGCUCCGCAAACCAGUUGUAAACUAUAGCAAGCAAGCCCGGGGUCGGCCUUCACGGGCUGGUUCCGGGUGAUAUGGAUAACCCUGGUAAUUCUGAGGCUAAUACAUGACCGUAAAACCUAGCUGACCGGCUUCGGCUGGGAUGCUGGGGGACGUGUGAUUUGGGCUUGGUAACACCGGGAAGGGGCGCACGUCUAGACCACGCUAUAAAGGUCGGUUUCCUCCUCGGAGGGGGCCGUCCCAGUGGCUCUUGCUGUGUGCUUCUGACCUAUCAACUAGACGGCAGCGUAAGGGACAUGCUAUGGU